GUGUGAUGGCUGCCACGGCAGCCCAGAGGACUCUAGGAUGCUACUUCCAGGAAAUCCGCUACUCAACGUGGAUGGAUUCCCUGUCCGGGAAGGAAACCAGAUUGCCUUCACAGCAGGGAGGAGCUCGCUGCCUGCCUUGCCAGCCAGGUGGAAUUUCAUUUCUCUAUGCUCGUGGGAUCUUGCACUUUAAUAAAGUUUCGUUAGUCA
This 207-nucleotide long non-coding RNA is filed under the name Cavia porcellus (domestic guinea pig). RNAcentral describes it as "lncRNA (ENSCPOG00000038821.1)". The record is from RNAcentral. Lineage: Eukaryota; Metazoa; Chordata; Mammalia; Rodentia; Caviidae.